AACAGCAUAACAAAUUUUCUUGAUGACUAAUUGAUCUAUGUCCCUACCAAGAGAGAUUCAAAAGACAACAUUCAAAUAUCAACCAACUAGUAAUCAAGAAAUAACCAACAAUGGUUUCGGAACAUUAUUUCCAGUGGCAAAUGUGAUUUUGAUUGUAAGCUCUGAACAGGGAACUAUUGUGAUUGUAAGCUCUGAACGGGAACUAAAAGCAAUGCCAAAC
Molecule: long non-coding RNA, 220 nt
Filed under: Gossypium barbadense (sea-island cotton)
Lineage: Eukaryota; Viridiplantae; Streptophyta; Magnoliopsida; Malvales; Malvaceae
Description: long non-coding RNA (GBAR_LNC000156)
Source: RNAcentral